GACGUAGGGCGCGAGCGUUGUCCGGAUUUAUUGGGCGUAAAGAGCUCGUAGGCGGCUUGUUGCGUCGACCGUGAAAACUUGGGGCUUAACCUCAGGCUUGCGGUUGAUACGGGCAGGCUAGAGUUCGGUAGGGGAGACUGGAAUUCCUGGUGUAGCGGUGAAAUGCGCAGAUAUCAGGAGGAACACCGGUGGCGAAGGCGGGUCUCUGGGCCGUACCUGACACUGAUGCGCGACAGCAUGGGGAGCAAACAGG
Molecule: ribosomal RNA, 253 nt
Filed under: uncultured bacterium
Lineage: Bacteria
Description: partial 16S ribosomal RNA
Rfam family: Bacterial small subunit ribosomal RNA
Source: RNAcentral